This 253-nucleotide ribosomal RNA is filed under the name uncultured bacterium. RNAcentral describes it as "partial 16S ribosomal RNA". It matches the Rfam family "Bacterial small subunit ribosomal RNA", at positions 524 to 776 of the family's 1533-position model. The record is from RNAcentral.
UACGGGGGGGGCAAGCGUUGUUCGGAAUUACUGGGCGUAAAGGGUUCGUAGGUGGCCAACUUAGUCAGACGUGAAAUCCCUCAGCUUAACUGGGGAACUGCGUCUGAUACUGGAUGGCUCGAGUGCAGGAGAGGAACGCGGAAUUCCAGGUGUAGCGGUGAAAUGCGUAGAUAUCUGGAGGAACACCGGUGGCGAAGGCGACAUCCUGGACCGGUAUUGACGCUGAGGCGCGAAAGCCAGGGGAGCAAACGGG